CAGUCGCCGCGGUAAUACGUAGGGUGCAAGCGUUAAUCGGAAUUACUGGGCGUAAAGCGUGCGCAGGCGGUUCGCUAAGACAGAUGUGAAAUCCCCGGGCUUAGCCUGGGAACUGCAUUUGUGACUGGCGGGCUAGAGUAUGGCAGAGGGGGGUAGAAUUCCACGUGUAGCAGUGAAAUGCGUAGAGAUGCGGAGGAAUACCGAUGGCGAAGGCAGCCCCCUGGGCCAAUACUGACGCUCAUGCACGAAAGCGUGGGGAGCAAACAGGAUUAGAUACCCGAGUAGUCCCUGUCUCUUAUAC
Molecule: ribosomal RNA, 301 nt
Filed under: uncultured bacterium
Lineage: Bacteria
Description: partial 16S ribosomal RNA
Rfam family: Bacterial small subunit ribosomal RNA
Source: RNAcentral